AGAGUUUGAUCAUGGCUCAGAAUCAACGCUGGCGGCGUGCCUAACACAUGCAAGUCGAGCGAGAAAGGGGAGCAAUCCCCGAGUACAGCGGCGCACGGGUGAGUAACACGUGGGUAAUCUGCCUCAGAGUGGGGAAUAACACCGGGAAACCGGUGCUAAUACCGCAUACGAUCACGAUGUCUGCGGACGUUGUGAUGAAAGGCGCAAGUCGCUCUGAGAGGAGCCCGCGGCUGAUUAGCUAGUUGGUGGGGUAAUGGCCCACCAAGGCAACGAUCAGUAUCCGGUCUGAGAGGACGGUCGGACACACUGGAACUGAGACACGGUCCAGACUCCUACGGGAGGCAGCAGUGGGGAAUUUUUGGCAAUGGGGGCAACCCUGACCAAGCAACGCCGCGUGGGUGAUGAAGUCUCUUGGGACGUAAAACCCUUUCGACGGGGAAGAAAACCGCAAGGUUUGACGGUACCCGUAGAAGAAGCCCCGGCUAACUCCGUGCCAGCAGCCGCGGUAAUACGGGGGGGGCGAGCGUUGUUCGGAAUUACUGGGCGUAAAGGGCGCGUAGGCGGUUCGCUAAGUCGGAUGUGAAAACUCUGGGCUCAACCCAGAGCCUGCAUCCGAAACUGGCGGGCUAGAGUUCUGGAGGGGAUAGCGGAAUUCCUGGUGUAGCGGUGAAAUGCGUAGAUAUCAGGAGGAACACCGGUGGCGAAGGCGGCUAUCUGGACAGAAACUGACGCUGAGGCGCGAAAGCUAGGGGAGCAAACAGGAUUAGAUACCCUAGUAGUCC
This 782-nucleotide ribosomal RNA is filed under the name uncultured bacterium. RNAcentral describes it as "bacterial SSU rRNA". It matches the Rfam family "Bacterial small subunit ribosomal RNA", at positions 8 to 796 of the family's 1533-position model. The record is from RNAcentral.